Transfer RNA from Cavia porcellus (domestic guinea pig), 64 nucleotides. It matches the Rfam family "tRNA". Rfam says of the family: Transfer RNA (tRNA) molecules are approximately 80 nucleotides in length. Their secondary structure includes four short double-helical elements and three loops (D, anti-codon, and T loops). The record is from Rfam. Lineage: Eukaryota; Metazoa; Chordata; Mammalia; Rodentia; Caviidae.
GGGGAUUUAGCUCAGCGGCAUAAGCGCCUGCCUUGCAAGCAGGCAGUCAUAAGUUCAAUCCCUG